UUAAAUUGAAGAGUUUGAUCAUGGCUCAGAUUGAACGCUGGCGGCAGGCCUAACACAUGCAAGUCGAACGGUAACAGGAAGCAGCUUGCUGCUUCGCUGACGAGUGGCGGACGGGUGAGUAAUGUCUGGGAAACUGCCUGAUGGAGGGGGAUAACUACUGGAAACGGUGGCUAAUACCGCAUAACGUCGCAAGACCAAAGAGGGGGACCUUCGGGCCUCUUGCCAUCAGAUGUGCCCAGAUGGGAUUAGCUUGUUGGUGAGGUAACGGCUCACCAAGGCGACGAUCCCUAGCUGGUCUGAGAGGAUGACCAGCCACACUGGAACUGAGACACGGUCCAGACUCCUACGGGAGGCAGCAGUGGGGAAUAUUGCACAAUGGGCGCAAGCCUGAUGCAGCCAUGCCGCGUGUAUGAAGAAGGCCUUCGGGUUGUAAAGUACUUUCAGCGGGGAGGAAGGUGUUGCGGUUAAUAACCGCAGCAAUUGACGUUACCCGCAGAAGAAGCACCGGCUAACUCCGUGCCAGCAGCCGCGGUAAUACGGAGGGUGCAAGCGUUAAUCGGAAUUACUGGGCGUAAAGCGCACGCAGGCGGUCUGUCAAGUCGGAUGUGAAAUCCCCGGGCUCAACCUGGGAACUGCAUUCGAAACUGGCAGGCUUGAGUCUUGUAGAGGGGGGUAGAAUUCCAGGUGUAGCGGUGAAAUGCGUAGAGAUCUGGAGGAAUACCGGUGGCGAAGGCGGCCCCCUGGACAAAGACUGACGCUCAGGUGCGAAAGCGUGGGGAGCAAACAGGAUUAGAUACCCUGGUAGUCCACGCCGUAAACGAUGUCUACUUGGAGGUUGUGCCCUUGAGGCGUGGCUUCCGGAGCUAACGCGUUAAGUAGACCGCCUGGGGAGUACGGCCGCAAGGUUAAAACUCAAAUGAAUUGACGGGGGCCCGCACAAGCGGUGGAGCAUGUGGUUUAAUUCGAUGCAACGCGAAGAACCUUACCUGGUCUUGACAUCCACAGAACUUUCCAGAGAUGGAUUGGUGCCUUCGGGAACUGUGAGACAGGUGCUGCAUGGCUGUCGUCAGCUCGUGUUGUGAAAUGUUGGGUUAAGUCCCGCAACGAGCGCAACCCUUAUCCUUUGUUGCCAGCGAUUAGGUCGGGAACUCAAAGGAGACUGCCAGUGAUAAACUGGAGGAAGGUGGGGAUGACGUCAAGUCAUCAUGGCCCUUACGACCAGGGCUACACACGUGCUACAAUGGCGCAUACAAAGAGAAGCGACCUCGCGAGAGCAAGCGGACCUCAUAAAGUGCGUCGUAGUCCGGAUUGGAGUCUGCAACUCGACUCCAUGAAGUCGGAAUCGCUAGUAAUCGUGGAUCAGAAUGCCACGGUGAAUACGUUCCCGGGCCUUGUACACACCGCCCGUCACACCAUGGGAGUGGGUUGCAAAAGAAGUAGGUAGCUUAACCUUCGGGAGGGCGCUUACCACUUUGUGAUUCAUGACUGGGGUGAAGUCGUAACAAGGUAACCGUAGGGGAACCUGCGGUUGGAUCACCUCCUUACCUUAAAGAAGC
This 1556-nucleotide ribosomal RNA is filed under the name Salmonella enterica. RNAcentral's name for it is "bacterial SSU rRNA". It matches the Rfam family "Bacterial small subunit ribosomal RNA". The record is from RNAcentral. Lineage: Bacteria; Pseudomonadati; Pseudomonadota; Gammaproteobacteria; Enterobacterales; Enterobacteriaceae. RNAcentral also lists the same sequence under 2 other names.